CAGGCCUAACACAUGCAAGUCGAACGAAGGCUUCGGCCUUAGUGGCGCACGGGUGCGUAACGCGUGGGAAUCUGCCCUUGGGUUCGGAAUAACAGCGGGAAACUGCUGCUAAUACCGGAUGAUGACGUAAGUCCAAAGAUUUAUCGCCCAAGGAUGAGCCCGCGUAGGAUUAGGUAGUUGGUGAGGUAAAGGCUCACCAAGCCGACGAUCCUUAGCUGGUCUGAGAGGAUGAUCAGCCACACUGGGACUGAGACACGGCCCAGACUCCUACGGGAGGCAGCAGUGGGGAAUAUUGGACAAUGGGCGAAAGCCUGAUCCAGCAAUGCCGCGUGAGUGAUGAAGGCCUUAGGGUUGUAAAGCUCUUUUACCCGGNAUGAUAAAGACUUANCCGGGGCAAUAAGCUCCGCCUAACUCCGUGCCANCAGCC
RNAcentral lists this ribosomal RNA (427 nucleotides) under uncultured bacterium. Its description in RNAcentral is "bacterial SSU rRNA". It matches the Rfam family "Bacterial small subunit ribosomal RNA", at positions 43 to 516 of the family's 1533-position model. The record is from RNAcentral.